GAUGAACGCUGGCGGCGUGCCUAAUACAUGCGGGUCGAGCGAACAGACGAGGAGCUUGCUCCUCUGACGUUAGCGGCGGACGGGUGAGUAACACGUGGAUAACCUACCUAUAAGACUGGGAUAACUUCGGGAAACCGGAGCUAAUACCGGAUAAUAUAUUGAACCGCAUGGUUCAAUAGUGAAAGACGGUUUUGCUGUCACUUAUAGAUGGAUCCGCGCCGCAUUAGCUAGUUGGUAAGGUAACGGCUUACCAAGGCAACGAUGCGUAGCCGACCUGAGAGGGUGAUCGGCCACACUGGAACUGAGACACGGUCCAGACUCCUACGGGAGGCAGCAGUAGGGAAUCUUCCGCAAUGGGCGAAAGCUUGACGGAGCAACGCCGCGUGAGUGAUGAAGGUCUUCGGAUCGUAAAACUCUGUUAUUAGGGAAGAACAAAUGUGUAAGUAACUAUGCACGUCUUGACGGUACCUAAUCAGAAAGCCACGGCUAACUACGUG
RNAcentral lists this ribosomal RNA (497 nucleotides) under uncultured bacterium. Its description in RNAcentral is "partial 16S ribosomal RNA". It matches the Rfam family "Bacterial small subunit ribosomal RNA", at positions 28 to 507 of the family's 1533-position model. The record is from RNAcentral.